This 345-nucleotide unclassified non-coding RNA is filed under the name soil metagenome. RNAcentral describes it as "partial contains 5.8S ribosomal RNA, internal transcribed spacer 2, and large subunit ribosomal RNA". The stretch from base 1 to 120 matches the Rfam family "5.8S ribosomal RNA", at positions 35 to 154 of the family's 154-position model. The record is from RNAcentral.
GAUGAAGAACGUAGCGAAACGCGAUAAGUAAUGUGAAUUGCAGAAUCCAGUGAAUCAUCGAAUCUUUGAACGCACAUUGCGCCCGCCAGCAUUCUGGCGGGCAUGCCUGUUCGAGCGUCAUUGCUGCCCUCAAGCACGGCUUGUGUGUUGGGCCUCCGUCCUCCUCCCGGGGGACGGGCCCGAAAGGCAGCGGCGGCACCGCGUCCGGUCCUCGAGCGUAUGGGGCUUCGUCACCCGCUCUUGUAGGCCCGGCCGGCGCUUGCCGACACAUCAAUCUUUUUUCCAGGUUGACCUCGGAUCAGGUAGGGAUACCCGCUGAACUUAAGCAUAUCAAUAAGCGGAGGA